RNAcentral lists this ribosomal RNA (465 nucleotides) under uncultured bacterium. RNAcentral's name for it is "SSU rRNA". It matches the Rfam family "Bacterial small subunit ribosomal RNA", at positions 26 to 518 of the family's 1533-position model. The record is from RNAcentral.
AGGACGAACGCUGGCGGCGUGCCUAAGACAUGCAAGUCGAACGGAGCCUUCGGGCUCAGUGGCGAACGGCGGAGUAAUACAUGAGCAACGUGCCCCAAAGACUGGGAUAGUCACUGGAAACGGUGGGUAAUACCAGAUGUGACGGACAAUCGGCAUCGAUAGUCCAUUAAACAGUUUUUUGCUUUGGGAGCGGCUCAUGGCCUAUCAGGUAGUUGGUGAGGUAACGGCUCACCAAGCCGACGACGGGUAGCGGGUCUGAGAGGAUGAUCCGCUCGAGUGGGACUGAGACACGGCCCACACACCUACGGGUGGCAGCAGUUGGGAAUCUUGCACAAUGGGGGAAACCCUGAUGCAGCGACGCCGCGUGGAGGAUGAAUGGUUUAGGCCUGUAAACUCCUUUUAUCGGGAAAGACUUAGGACGGUACCCGAUGAAUAAGCACCGGCUAACUACGCGCCAGCAGCCGC